UAUAUAUAAGUGUAAUUAAUAAGCACAAAAUUUUUUGAAAAUUUUAGUAAUAAUUUAUAUAUAUAUAUAUAU
Molecule: transfer RNA, 72 nt
Filed under: Nasonia vitripennis (jewel wasp)
Lineage: Eukaryota; Metazoa; Arthropoda; Insecta; Hymenoptera; Pteromalidae
Description: tRNA-Gln
Source: RNAcentral